Molecule: ribosomal RNA, 460 nt
Filed under: uncultured bacterium
Lineage: Bacteria
Description: partial 16S ribosomal RNA
Rfam family: Bacterial small subunit ribosomal RNA
Source: RNAcentral
CCUACGGGGGACUGUAGUGAGGAAUAUUGGUCAAUGGGCGCGAGCCUGAACCAGCCAAGUCGCGUGAGGGAAGACGGCCCUACGGGUUGUAAACCUCUUUUGCCGGGGAGCAACGGGCGCCACGUGUGGCGCCACUGAGAGUACCAGGAGAAAAAGCAUCGGCUAACUCCGUGCCAGCAGCCGCGGUCAUACGGAGGAUGAGAGCGUUAUCCGGAUUUAUUGGGUUAACGGGGUGCGUAGGCGGAGCGUUAAGUCAGUGGUCAAAUUGAGGGGCUCAACCCCUUCCCGCCAUUGAAACUGGCGCUCUUGAGUGGAAGAGAGGUAUGCGGAAUGCGUGGUGUAGCGGUGAAAUGCAUAGAUAUCACGCAGAACCCCGAUUGCGAAGGCAGCAUGCCGGCUUCCUACUGACGCUGAAGCACGAAAGCGUGGGGAUCGAACAGGAUUAGAUACCCUUGUAGUC